UACGUAGGGUGCGAGCGUUAAUCGGAAUUACUGGGCGUAAAGCGUGCGCAGGCGGUUUUGUAAGCCAGAUGUGAAAGCCCCGGGCUCAACCUGGGAAUGGCAUUUGGGACUGCAAGGCUUGAGUGCGGCAGAGGAGACUGGGAUUCCUGGUGUAGCAGUGAAAUGCGUAGAUAUCAGGAGGAAUACCGAUGGCGAAGGCAGGUCUCUGGGCUGACACUGACGCUCAUGCACGAAAGCGUGGGGAGCAAACAGG
Molecule: ribosomal RNA, 253 nt
Filed under: uncultured bacterium
Lineage: Bacteria
Description: partial 16S ribosomal RNA
Rfam family: Bacterial small subunit ribosomal RNA
Source: RNAcentral